AUCCUUGUAGCGCAAUGGAGAGCGUGUUGGACAUCUAAUCCAAGGGUCGUGUAUUCGAAUCCUACCUGGGAUG
Non-coding RNA from Trichonephila clavata, 73 nucleotides. Lineage: Eukaryota; Metazoa; Arthropoda; Arachnida; Araneae; Nephilidae. The record is from the annotation of a GenBank genome assembly.